UACAUAAAUUUUUCACAUCCGUCAAAAAAAUCAACAUUUAAUUGAGAUUCAAACCAAUCUGGGGAUAAAACAUAGGUCAGUGAUUAGACUCAGUGACACUAGAUGGAACUACCGCUAUAGAAAUAUAGAGUGUGUUAAAGCAAGUUAUAAAGCAAUUAUUCAAGCUUUAGAAGAAGAAAUCGAAAAUGAAGAUGAUAGAGGAGUAAACGAAGCAAUUGGAAUAUUAGCAAAUUUAAAAAGUGGACCAUUUAUAGUUUAUUUAUUUAUCUUACAUAAAGUAUUAAUUCAUAUUAAUAUCGUUACCAACAAAUUUCAAGAAAAAACUGCAACCUUAGGUCAAUCUAAAAAUAUUAUUCAAGGUGUGAUGAUGAUUUUUUAAAUUUUAAGAACAACAGAAUAUUUUUCUCAGCUUUGGUGUGAAAUAGAAACCUUUGCUAAAGAUCAUGACAUAUCAAUACAAACACCAUCUAAAGGAUGUAAAAGAAAAAGACAAGAGCCAACAAUUUUUAAAAAUUUUGAUGUCACUGCAACCACAAGUGCUGAACAUAGUAUCAAUGAAACUAAUGAAACCACUGAAGGUUAUUUCAAAAAAAAAUGCUUUCUUUCCUGUAUUUGAUGCUAUCUUGGUAAAUCUGGAAAAA
Metopolophium dirhodum (rose-grain aphid) is the source of this 641-nucleotide long non-coding RNA. RefSeq lists it as uncharacterized. The record is from RefSeq and is a predicted model, not a curated record. NCBI's taxonomy places the organism in Eukaryota, Metazoa, Arthropoda, Insecta, Hemiptera, Aphididae. The transcript has 3 exons.